AGUGAACGCUGGCGGUAGGCCUAACACAUGCAAGUCGAACGGCAGCACAGUAAGAGCUUGCUCUUACGGGUGGCGAGUGGCGGACGGGUGAGGAAUACAUCGGAAUCUACUUUUUCGUGGGGGAUAACGUAGGGAAACUUACGCUAAUACCGCAUACGACCUACGGGUGAAAGCAGGGGAUCUUCGGACCUUGCGCGAUUGAAUGAGCCGAUGUCGGAUUAGCUAGUUGGCGGGGUAAAGGCCCACCAAGGCGACGAUCCGUAGCUGGUCUGAGAGGAUGAUCGGCCACACUGGAACUGAGACGCGGUCCAGACUCCUACGGGAGGCAGCAGUGGGGAAUAUUGGACAAAGGGCGCAAGCCUGAUCCAGCCAUACCGCGUGGGUGAAGAAGGCCUUCGGGUUGUAAAGCCCUUUUGUUGGGAAAGAAAAGCAGCAGGUUAAUACCCCGCUGUUCUGACGGUACCCAAAGAAUAAGCACCGGCUAACUUCGUG
This 492-nucleotide ribosomal RNA is filed under the name uncultured bacterium. RNAcentral's name for it is "partial 16S ribosomal RNA". It matches the Rfam family "Bacterial small subunit ribosomal RNA", at positions 29 to 507 of the family's 1533-position model. The record is from RNAcentral.